This is a long non-coding RNA of Ipomoea nil (Japanese morning glory), 1297 nucleotides long. RefSeq lists it as uncharacterized. The record is from RefSeq and is a predicted model, not a curated record. The transcript has 7 exons. Lineage: Eukaryota; Viridiplantae; Streptophyta; Magnoliopsida; Solanales; Convolvulaceae.
UCGCCUCAAACCGACGACGCUCCUCCUUUCGCUAGUCGUCGCCUCAAACCGACGGGGGAGGUAAGGGUGAAAUUUUGCUUGCUUUCACUAGACUGGCGGAGUUUAACAAACUGAGUUUUGGUGCUGAUAGGUGAAUGCUGUGAAGUUUAAUGAUUAUGCUACUGUAGUUGUAUCUUCUGGUUAUGAUAAAUCUUUGCGUGUCUGGGACUGCAAAUCUCACAGCACUGAACCAAUUCAGUAUGCAGAUCAGAUAAUAGUUUGGAGAUUGAAUCAGAAGUUAAAUUUCAGCCGAUGCCACUGUUCAAAAAGAAAUUAAUUCCCUUUCUUUUUUGUUUUUUUUUUUCUUUCUCUGUCAAUCAUUAAUGAUUAUUAUCCUCGAUGAAUCGCUGAUUCUAUUACUGGUAAUCAAAACAGAAAGCUAAGAUUGAAGAGGGUAACAAGAGUUCCAGCCAUAAGCAUGAAGCUUUCAGACAUUCCACCCGAUGAUUAUUCAUGGCGGAAAUAUGGACAUAAGCCCAUCAAAGGAUCCCCACACCCAAGGUUUUGAUUUAUCGAAAUGAAGGUGAAAGGUGCUUGAAAGAAACAUCUAUUAAUUCACUGAGGAUAAGCCUCAAGGCCCCAAGUACAGUGCAGGCAAAUGCUGAAUCAGAUGCAAAGGCAUCUGAAGGGAAGGAAAAUGUUUCUGGGAAAAAUCAAAGGGAAGUUCUGGUGGCAAAGCCGAAAGCAAAAAAGCAGCUUCUAUCUCAGGAAAUGAUGGUGCCACCCAAAGGGCUACUAGAACAUGCUCUAUUGUUGUUGAGGAAUCGGUGAGAAGCCUUGAUGAGAAGUUAGCACCUGCUCUCGAUGAGUGCAACGCUAAAGAUGAAUUAGUCACAAAGUUCACAAAAAUGGCGGAAGAAGCCAUUGCAGCUCACAAGAAAGCGGAGGCUAAAAUUAUGUGUUUGAAGGAAGAGUUAGAAGAAUGGAAGGCUAACUCACCUUACCAGUGCAUUGAAGGAUUGUAUGCAGAAAUGAAGGAAGAGCUGGCUAUUUAUGGACCUAUAUCAAAUGAUAUCUCCUCCAUAUCAAGCCAUGAAUCGAAGAAGGAGCAUCAAAGUGUUUCUACUGAAGCUUGGGCUUGUGCUUUGAUAUCUGAACUAGAGCAUUUCAAGAAUCAUAAGGACCAGAAGAGUAACUCUGAACAGAAAAUGAUUGGAGUUUCAGAGAUGAGGCUAAUGGAUGAUUUUGUCGAAAUGGAAAAACUAGCAAUAGUAGCAAAUAUCUUCAAACAUAUUGAUGAAUGAAUUCUCUUCAAGAA